CCUAGCAACCCGGUCGUCGGCAAACUAAGCACCUCACUCCUGAUGUGACCGGGCUGCCCUCCGUGCUCAGGCUGAGGUCACCGCUCCCCGCCAGGGACCGACUCCGCCCUUGUCCCGGAUACACUGAGAGCAGAACCACAAGAAGCGGAGGUCCCAAGAUCCACCGGCUGACUGCCUUGGGACAAACUAAUAAAUGGCAGAGCCAGGCCUCAAGCCCAGGUCUGACUCAAACUCAAACUCAAACUCAAAGCCGCACCCGCCGUCAACACUGGACGUGACAUCGAGGGCUGCACAGGACGCACAUGCAAGUCCCGUCAUUAAGGGGGAAGCUUCUCGGGCUUAAAGUGAACACCGCAGGCAACCCCCGCCCCCCCCCCCCAGUGCAAUUCAUCCGGAUGCUGGUUUGAUAUUCACACUGUACCUCUCUUCCUUUCCGUCCUACCGCGUAAAAGGCCCUUUUCCCUAACACACGGGAGCGCACAGACACAUGCGACACGACAUCCAAGCCUGACGUGCGUUCACACCUGGGUACGGGAAAGAUCCCGAUCUCUUAUGUCCUCGGGACAAUAGCAUGAGAACAGAUCCUGUGACUAACACCGGAACCAAAAGGCAGGGGGGGAGUUCUAAAGAUAGAUUCAAGACGGUGACCGAAGCAUCAGCAAACAGGUGUCCGGCAGGAAGGUCAAGUGAAAGGCUCUUACUAAAAGUAACCCACAGGGACGCCUGGGUGGCUCAGUCGGUUGAGCGUCCGACUUCGGCUCAGGUCAUGAUCUCACGGUUCGUGAGUUCGAGCCCCGCGUCGGGCUCUGUGCUGACCGCUCAGAGCCUGGAUCCGGUUUCGGAUUCUGUGUCUCCCUCUCUCUCUGCCCCUCCCCUGCUCUCAAAAAGAAAUAAACUUAAAACAAAUUAAGAAAAAAGUAACCCGUGUCUCAAAGUUAGAAAACGCGUCAGUCACUCUGCCCAACUGACUCAGGUGUUCCCGUGUCUUCCUGUGGGUCACUUAGCGUCCAGGGUGGCAUCGUGUCCACACACCACAUCUAGAGCUUGUCCUGGCUGAUGGCCGCGGACAGUGCUUACCCCCCCACCCCCCAGGCCUGCGGCAAACCCAGAUGCUGACGUCAUGUAAGCCACGAGGCGGGAACCGUCUGGGCCCAUCUGACAGACUCACCUACAAAACCCAAGUGACAGAAACGGGUCUCUUCCGACAGCACUGACAGACAAAGGCCUUCGUAAAGAUAAAUUACGGACAAGUAUUUCCAGGGGCAGGUUUCCCUCAGAGUCAAGUGCAAGGGAAGGAAGCCAAGACGGCGGUCAGGUUCAGUGCCUCGCUUUGGCACAGCGGCAGGGGAGAGGGUCAGGUUUUGUUUUUAAGUUAGUGUGGUAUUUUCAAAACGUGAACACCUCGUAAAAAACCAAAUCACACGCCGAGGCUGGUACGCUCUGCGGAAGGGGCUGGUCUCCUCCACUUGUGAAUCCAUUCUUCCAGCUCUAAUGAAAUAGAAUGGGGCGCUGGGGUUUAUAAGCAACAUGUAUUUGGUUGUCACACGGUUCCUAAAAAUACCCUUGUUAAUUUGCUUUCCAGGAGCUACAGGGACAUCAUUUUGUUUUCACAUUUCGUGUUGUUCCCAGUUCCUGAAAUAGCUCCAGAUAGCAAAGGUUGAAAUGGGCGUUUUUCGGAUUCGAACGAACCAGUUUGUGCUAAAGGCUGAGCGGUGGCUGGGGCUCCUGGGUGGCCUGGAGGGGGCUGGUUGCGGGAGGAACCACUCAGCGAUCCCAGGGUUGGCACUUUCAGCCCCGCCCACACUGGGGAGGAGGUGGGGCUAAAGGGUGGAAUCAAUUCACCCAUCAGUGGUCCACAGUUUAAUCAGUCGGUACCAUGUGAGGAAACCUUCAUACACCCUGAACUAUGGGAUACGAACUACAGAAUUCGGAGAGCUCCCGGGCUGGUGAACACACUGAGGCGGGGAGGCCGGUGCACCCGGGGAGGACACGGCCGCCCCCACCCCUUCCCCGCACACCUUGCCUUCUGCCUCGCUUUAGGGGGCUGACCUGGUGGCAGCCCCCAUGAUGAAUCGGUAACGUACAGCGAAACUGUUUUCCUGAGUUCCGUGAGCCACUCCGGGAAAUUAAUCAAGCCCUCGGAGGGGUCUGAGAGGUGGUGGGAACCUCCAACUUACAGCAGGCCCUGCACUCAGACCAGGCAGCUGACCGGGGCUGGAGAAAACGGUCAAGGGCACCGAGCGCUCGCGCUUGAAGCUCCCCUCCGCCGCCCUUGGAGGCUCCACGCUCUUCUCUGCGGAGCUGACCUUCCACCCUCCCCUGUACCGCUCGCCCAUCAUCAACACCAGGCAGGGCAGAGGCUCUGCGGUCCAAGCCCCCGCGCCCGCAGCGCCUCCAACUGGGGGCCUGGGACCUUGUGCUGAGAGAAGUUCACUACAAAUUUCUUCCCUUGUUUUCUUGAAACAUUAAACACCCGUUUUUACUUUCACAGAAAUACAUAACGUGAACCUGACAUACGGGCCCCUUCCAGUUCGGGACACUAUCUCCCUUUCUCUCCGGCUCCCUUCCACACCUCACGGCCUGUGGCGGCAACAUCCGUGUGGACAAGCUGAUGCGCAGCCCUCCACAUUUCUGGGCUCGCCCACGCUCACGGAGGCAGCCCGACACACAGACGUACGUCCAUGCUGGGGUGGGGGCUGAGGCCACUGCCCAUUUAACAAGGAUUCUGGGAUGCGCUUUCCUCCCUCAGCGUCCCCGGCCCCACGGCAGAGCUCCUGGGCCACGUUUCAGUGGCCACCCACCACCCCGUGGUACGAACGAGUGGUACUUCACGUAUCCACUGCCCUCCUGACGCUGCUCCCACUUUUUGUCACUGCCGAUGGGCCACACCACCUCUCUAAACCUUUGUUUCCGCAUGCCUAAGGUGGAGCUAAUGACGACACUGACCUCAGGAGGGUGCUGGGGGAACGAAGCAUGGGAACACCCCCACUCAAAAGGCGCACAAACUGAGGCUCAAAGAGUUGCAGAGUUCCUCAAUGUCAUCCAGCUCCAAGUGGUGAGGCCUGGGUGCGAGCUGGGCCCGGGGGGGGGGGGGGGUGGAGGUAAGCCACAGAGAUCUCCUGUUCCCACCUUACAAGGUGCCCAGCAUGUGGCAAAUGCUUCAUGAAUAAUUAUCAAACAAAAGGCCUAGACAAACACCUAGUUUAAUACCCGUUUUUUCGCUACCACGUGAUCUAUCCCGGAACACCGUUAGUAAAAGAAAUGCUCGGCCCAAACAAGGCAAGUCCACACACAACCAGAAAAUCCAGGCUGGGCCUUGCCACCCCUCCGUCUGACACACGCGAGGACGGCUGCCCGGUCUGCACGCCA
Long non-coding RNA from Felis catus (domestic cat), 3369 nucleotides. RefSeq lists it as uncharacterized. NCBI's taxonomy places the organism in Eukaryota, Metazoa, Chordata, Mammalia, Carnivora, Felidae. The record is from RefSeq and is a predicted model, not a curated record. The transcript is spliced from 4 exons.